RNAcentral lists this ribosomal RNA (440 nucleotides) under uncultured bacterium. Its description in RNAcentral is "partial 16S ribosomal RNA". It matches the Rfam family "Bacterial small subunit ribosomal RNA", at positions 338 to 795 of the family's 1533-position model. The record is from RNAcentral.
CCUACGGGUGGCAGCAGUGGGGAAUAUUGCACAAUGGUGGAAAGACUGAUGCAGCGACGCCGCGUGAGUGAAGAAGUAUUACGGUAUGUAAAGCUCUAUCAGCAGGGAAGAAAAUGACGGUACCUGAUUAAGAAGCACCGGCUAACUACGUGCCAGCAGCGGUGGUACUACGUAGGGGGCAAGCGUUAUCCGGAUUUACUGGGUGUAAAGGGGGCGUAGACGGCAGCGCAAGUCUGAAGGGAAAUGCCGGGGCUUAACCCCGGAACUGCCUUGGAAACUGUGCAGCUAGAGUGCAGGAGAGGUAAGUGGAAUGCCUGGUGUAGCGGUGAAAUGCGUAGAUAUUAGGAGGAACACCAGUGGCGAAGGCGGCUUACUGGACUGUAACUGACGUUGAGGCUCGAAAGCGUGGGGAGCAAACAGGAUUAGAUACCCCGGUAGUC